AUGAUUGCCUAUCAGUCUUCUUGAUAUCACUCUCACACCUUCAACAAUAAGGUUUGUUAAUUUGCGUUGCCUCCACUGUUUUAGCAAAAACACAGUACAUAACCAUGCAGAGCCUAGACAGACAGACAGAGUGGUUAACAGUUUUUGUUUUAAAACAUUCUAUGACAAAGUGAAGAAACAGCAGGAAGAAUAAAUAUUUAUAACCCAUAGAACACUUCUCACUGUGUUUUAUGAAGGUAAAUUGGUUGCUGGGUUUUAAAUAGAGUACUUGACAGAUGGGUUUUAAGUGUUUCUCUCCAGCAAAAGAACUUGCAAUAUGCUUUAAUGGAAUGGUGAGAGAACAGAGGGAGUGAGGGAGCUGCCUGCAGGAGACCUUAAGCCUGGAGCAGGCUUGCUAACUGAGCCAGCCAGAGACACCAGGCACAGUAAAGGAACCUCCAGCGGCUGGUUUCUUAUAAGAAAACUGAAAGCAAAAGCCACAAGGGAGUCAGCUUGGGGAGGGAGCGACAGGCUGGUAAGAGAGGUUCUGUGAAGGAAACUUUUCCUGUUCCCCCAGGCUCUGAGGAAGGAGCCAUGCCCUGGGACAGAUUUUUGGGGACACUGAGUGACUGGGGAAAUUCCUUUUUGUGUUUGCUUUCAAUAACUUUGUAAACAAGGAAAACCAGACUUAAAGAAGGGCUGUUAUUGAAAGAGAAAGACUGUGAAGUUUCUUAAAGAUGCCUUGAAGAAGGGGGAAAUACAGAUGGGGGCACUGCAGAGGCAUUCCUGGCCACAAGGGGGCACUUGGGUGGUGGCCACCCCAUGACAGGGACAUUAAGUACAGGGGGAGUCGCAUCUUAUGCAUGGGUUAGGUUCUGAAGUCACCACGUGAGGCAAAAAUCGCCUAUAGUCAAACGUUCAUUGAGUGGAAUGGCGGGUGGAAUAAUUCAUACUACAGGGAAACUGUUAACUGCCCAGUCUAUUACAAAACAUCUUUGGAGAUGCUGGAUUACAGUGAUGGGCAUUUGAGGAAGGUGGGGAAAGGGAGGGGACAUAAAAAUCUAUGGCUUCCUCUAGACAACAGGAGAAAAGGCUAAGAGAAAAGAUGGCCAAUCAUGGAGCUGUCACAGCAGAAGCAUUCCACCAAAACUGGAAAGCAGAUGCAAAAUCAUGGGGCAUGGCUCUUCUGUUGAACAACACUGAUAGCAGAUGUUAGACCCUUGCAUAAAGUUGCUGACUGCUGUCUACUGAAGAUUUGUACCAAAUGCAUCUCAUUAAAUCCAUUCCGGAUAUGGGGAGAUGGUAGGGGCCCUGUAGGCCAAAGAAGCUACACUCUGAGACAGAGUUCCUACACGCAGAACCGCAGCAACAGUCAAUUUAGGGAAAAAGCUUUGGCUGGGAUUUCAGCUACACUAUUAAAAACAUAAGAAUGACCAUACUGGGUCAGACCAAAGGUCCAUCCAGCCCAGUAUCCUGUCUACCAACAGUGGCCAGUGCCAGGUAAUUCAGAGGUAUUAUUUACCUUAUUAAUUAAGAAACCCCAAGAAGAAGGUGAUUUUGCCUAUAGGAAAUGUGAGCAAAGUUUGGUGGGAGGAGGGUGAGACCAUCGCCUGAACCUAAGACCAUUUCACACAAAUUUUGGCAUCUGUUAGUUCACCAAAAUAAAUUAAUAAAUGAGAAGAUCAGGGGAAGAGUUAGAAAUAAAUCUGUGCAGACUUUUGGCUCCAGCAGCAGCUACUUUAAUUUUAUUUGUCAUUAUGUACCAAACUUUUUCAAAGAUCACAUGGAAAUUCAAUAGUGAAGUUACCUUCAUUCAAGAAUGCCAAAGAACUGCCUAAACAUUAAUUAAACCUUACUACCACCCGGCUACUGAGCAAGCAGUGAAUCUGGGCUCUUAGAAAGAAAGUGAAGCUUGAGACUGAUAUAAAAACUACUAUACACGUAGAAAAGGCCAAAAUGACUCCCUUUCUUCAUAAACAGGAAAAACAAAAUUAACAUUGAGCUAUUGCUGUGAUUCCAGUUAUCUAACAACUUCCAUGUGACAUGUGUCUUAAUGGAGCUAGUUGGUGCUCUAGAGGGAUCACUGUUUUCUAGGAUGCCAGGGCAGAGCAUCACCAGUGGAUGUGGCUUUGAAGGCUAGAUAAACCAGACACUUAUAUCAUAGCCAAGAUUGCCAAGCAAUUAUGUAACAUUAUUGAAAUGGGGGAUUUGACAGAAUAAAUCUUCCCAAGUGAAAAACAAAUGAAGGGCAAAUAAAAUGAAGCAGAAUGGAAGUCACAAAGUGUAUUAGAAAAUCAAAAGCAAUGAAGAGAAAGAAAUAGUGCAUAUUUGGGGGUGGGUGAGCUUAAACUGCUGAAAUAAGAACACCAGGGAGAAGACUGUUCAGUAAUAACUAAUAUAUCAUUUGAUAAACACAAGCUGUUUUUGGUUGAUACAAUAUAUAUAAUAGGAUCAACUCCAGAAUCAGGUACUGUGUCUUUAAUUAGACUGCUAAUGGUUAUGUCAGUGAAUGAGUCAUUUUAAAAACUAAAUUGACUAACACUGUUUUAUUUAGUCUUGUGUAAGAAACAUUUCAACACCCCACACACAGAUUAGUUCAUUUUCUGGGAACUAUAAUAUAAUCUGAAAACAAGAGAUCAACUCAAUGCCAUUAAUGCCUGGUGAGUUUAAAACAAAUGAAAAAGGAAAUACUUCCCACCGUAUACACAUAUCCUAUGUAAUUCACCAGUACAGGAGGUCAUGGGGUGGAGAUGAAUUGUUAAAAGAGCUGAAUAGCUUACCAUUAAUGACACGUAGCUAUUCAUGCUAAGUAAGUGUGGUAAUGUCCCUUGCUUCAAAGCAUAAGCAUAUAAUCUUUAAGGGUAAGGAAGGAACUUUCUUCUUUCCCCUUUCACACACUAAACUAUUAAGUCUAUGCAUUUCCUCUGAAGUAAUGGCCACUGGCAGAGGCAGGAUAACCAGAUUUGAUGAAUGAGUGAAUCAUCCACUAUGGCAAAUCCUGUAUGCUUUAGUUAAACAUCCACAACUCUCACUUCAUAGUGCCAUACUUGACAAAUCUCCAUAUCACCACCUCCAUUGCUCUCAGAACACUGCACUGUAGCAAAGCCUUGAUAUCAAAAUGCUAUAUAUUUAUGUCUACAAGAGACCAGAAAGUUACCAAAUAGGGAUGUAUUGAAUGUGAUGUGUUUAAUAACCACAUGUGAUAGUUGGUAUCUGUUGAAAGUAGAAUAUUAAUUUCCAAGAUUCCGACCCUGUAAAUCUUUUUGUAUCAAGCUCUUAGCAAGGAGUAAAAAAGACACUUGCUCCUACUGA
Long non-coding RNA from Gopherus evgoodei (Goodes thornscrub tortoise), 3291 nucleotides. RefSeq lists it as uncharacterized. The record is from RefSeq and is a predicted model, not a curated record. Lineage: Eukaryota; Metazoa; Chordata; Testudines; Testudinidae. The transcript is spliced from 3 exons.